UACGUAGGGUGCGAGCGUUGUCCGGAAUUAUUGGGCGUAAAGAGCUCGUAGGCGGUGUGUCGCGUCGGCCGUGAAAACCUGCAGCUUAACUGUGGGCUUGCGGUCGAUACGGGCAUCACUGGAGUUCGGCAGGGGAGACUGGAAUUCCUGGUGUAGCGGUGAAAUGCGCAGAUAUCAGGAGGAACACCGAUGGCGAAGGCAGGUCUCUGGGCAUUAACUGACGCUGAGGAGCGAAAGCAUGGGGAGCGAACAGG
Molecule: ribosomal RNA, 254 nt
Filed under: uncultured bacterium
Lineage: Bacteria
Description: partial 16S ribosomal RNA
Rfam family: Bacterial small subunit ribosomal RNA
Source: RNAcentral